Molecule: long non-coding RNA, 675 nt
Organism: Acanthopagrus latus (yellowfin seabream)
Lineage: Eukaryota; Metazoa; Chordata; Actinopteri; Spariformes; Sparidae
Exons: 3
Source: RefSeq, a predicted model, not a curated record
UAUGCUAAGCAGCCAGACACAGCUACUUUGUGAGGUUUCCAGGUUUGGAACCAACUGUGCCUGUUCAAAGAUUUAAACCAGCGCUCAACGGCCACAUCUGGCAGGCCACAGUGUAGCUGCCAACAUUAGCGGAUACAGUUAGAAAUGUUGUUCAUCGAGAAAGAAUGGCACCACUCCCCCUAAAUCUACCGCCAACAAAAAGAGAUACGUGGUGUUCAUUUCGAUGGGCUGACCGUCAUUUUUUGAACACAGGCGACCAGUCUUGGUUUGGGUGGAUCACGAGUCCCAACACCUCCUCACCUCCGUAUCUCUGGAUAAUAAGAGCUAUUGUGCAUGUGAGCCGAAUAGUAAUGUCACUCCAAGGACCUGAUGGCUUUGAAGUGUGCAGAGGAUCGGGGGGAAAAGUGCAAAAAAGGCUCCACGAAGACUGAAACCGACGGCGUGAUUCCAUUUAAAUACAUUAACUAUCUUUUAACGAUAUGUGUCAUAUUAAAGCUCUACACUGACGUUCUGGCUUGCUGGCAACUGGAUCAAACCUAAAUUUAUCUUCAUUUUAAAUGCAAAAUUGCGACAUCAUUUUUUAUGUUUUCCCUGUUAUUCUAUAGGUUUAUAGAUUAUUCAGAUUUCCAUGGUGACCUCCAGCUACACUCGAGUCAUCUGCCUGACUUGAGCUGA